CCUACGGGUGGCAGCAGUCGAGAAUCAUUCACAAUGGGGGAAACCCUGAUGGUGCGACGCCGCGUGGGGGAAUGAAGGUCUUCGGAUUGUAAACCUCUGUCAUGUGGGAGCAAAUUAAAAAGAUAGUACCACAAGAGGAAGAGACGGCUAACUCUGUGCCAGCAGCCGCGGGAAUACAGCGGUCUCAAGCGUUGUUCGGAAUGACUGGUCGUAAGGGGUGCGGAGGCUGUUUCGUAAGUCGUGUGUGAAAGGCGCGGGCUCAACCCGCGGGCGGCACAUGAUACUGGGAGACUAGAGUAAUGGAGGGGGAACCGGAAUUCUCGGUGUAGCAGUGAAAUGCGUAGAUAUCGAGAGGAACACUCGUGGCGAAGGCGGGUUCCUGGACAUUAACUGACGCUGAGGCACGAAGGCCAGGGGAGCGAAAGGGAUUAGAUACCCUAGUAGUC
Molecule: ribosomal RNA, 446 nt
Filed under: uncultured bacterium
Lineage: Bacteria
Description: partial 16S ribosomal RNA
Rfam family: Bacterial small subunit ribosomal RNA
Source: RNAcentral